GGAUUUUAAAUGUAUUCUCAGUUAAAGGAAUCAAGGUUCCUUAAAGAGAUGGUUGAUUGCAUGGGAAGGAGAAAGCAAGGUCCUAACUAAACCCUAGUUCAACUUGAGCAGUAUUCAGAAAACUCAAACAUCUGAAUGAUUAAUGUUAUCUGUUAACAACUGAAGUAACCAAAAGGACACGGGUCAUCAACAUCAAACAUGAUAUUUACAGUUUCAUCAGAUGUAAGUGGCACAAGGUGUCCUAUACUACACAAAGUUUGGUCAGCCUUCUCAGCAGGCUCAGAUGAAGAUUUCGAGAACCUUUACUAUGUUAUUAUUUCG
This 321-nucleotide long non-coding RNA is filed under the name Mustela putorius furo (domestic ferret). Its description in RNAcentral is "lncRNA (ENSMPUG00000025404.1)". Lineage: Eukaryota; Metazoa; Chordata; Mammalia; Carnivora; Mustelidae. The record is from RNAcentral.